RNAcentral lists this long non-coding RNA (1981 nucleotides) under Scophthalmus maximus (turbot). RNAcentral describes it as "lncRNA (ENSSMAG00000028031.1)". The record is from RNAcentral. Lineage: Eukaryota; Metazoa; Chordata; Actinopteri; Pleuronectiformes; Scophthalmidae.
ACCCGGAAGAACGUACAGGGGAAGUUGCGGGUCGGCAGCAAGGAGAGACUGACUUUCUUUGGACAAGUUCAGUUGAGUCCUUCGCAUUCAAGCCAUCAAGUUGUAAAAAUCAGAGCCAACUUUACGCAUCAGCUCCAGCUGCAGCUCCCUUCCUCUGCUCUAAUGGAGGGAGAUGUGUGUUGGAACCCCAAGAACAACACUGACUUUGAUUAUGAGGCCAGAGGGAAACUGAGAGUAGAGCGGCAGGAGUGCAAAGUGAGUGAAGCUAAAUCUGCGUUUUUAAUUACUGCAUGUUUGAUCAGCAGUGUCUCUGAUGAAUUUGUGGUAUCAAGGAGUUUUUUUUCUUUUCAGCUUUCUGUACAGCUCAAUAGAACAUCAGACAGAGUCCGACUGCAUUCGUUUCUCAGUCAUCCCUUCAAAUCAAAGAUCCCCAAAACCCUCGAGGUAGGCUGCUACUGUGUUUCGUCAAGUUAUUUUAUUCAACUUUCCGAAAAACAAGUGUUGUGCCGGGAUCUGUUUUUAGGUUUUGAGGUGUCUUAUUAUUUUAUUUUUUUCGUUUUUCCAUGUUAAGGUGAAGGCCAGUGUAGAUAUAUCGAGAGUGGCAGGUAAAGGUAGUAGCUCGGUACACGUGAGGGCUGAUGGGAAGGACAGGGUGAGGCUGGAGGCCCAGAUGGCCCACUCCCUCCAAAGGGAACUCAGAGCUGUUGGACUAAGGAUGAACUUAUCGCAAAGUUUGCUGCCUACGGCCACUGACCUGCACGUAAACAUGGCUGCCAACAUGUCCUCAGACAGGUCUGUGUCUCCGCCUGUAUCUUACAUGUAACACAUGGCAAAGCAGCAAGGUCUGAUUUAUGGACUCGUGGUCUCAUUUGUGUGUUUUCUGCUUGUCUCUUGCUCUGCCAGUGUGUCUUUACAUGGCUCUUACACGCAGGGGAAUGAGCUCCUGCUCGUCCAGGUUAAAGGAUCUGUAGGAAACACCCAGGGUCGACAGCUGGCUGUGUCAGGGGACCUGAGGCACUCCAUGGCCAACCUUGUUAUUCUACCUACUGCCCUGGGGUUGGAUGGGGCACUGGGACAGUCUGACUCCCUCAUCGAAGGACAGCUAAGAGUUAGAGUAAUGGAGAAUUUGUACAGUGUAGAGCUGAGGCAUCAGCAGGACCCCGGGGAACCUUUGGACAGUGAAGAUGAAGAAGGCAUGAUGGGAAAAAAGUCCAGCAGGGCCCACGAUUGGCUGUCUGUUCAGGCAGGGGAGGAGAACCUGUUUGUGAACGUGCGCCGCCAGCUGGGGAAUCGAGGAAGGGGUGAGGUCUACGCCCAGCUCUCUCACUCUUUCCACCUACUCAAGCUCACAGGUGUACCUGCCAACAUCAGUGCCCAGGUGAAGUGGGCCCAGGGUAGCGGUCAGCUGUCACUACUGGCAGAGCUGCAGACUGGUCCUGAAUAUCUGAAGGCCGAAUUUAAUGGUGGCAAAACAGACCAUCUUAUCCCCCGAUGGGAAUUCUUCUCUGGGCUGCAGCAUCAAGUCAAAGCUUUGCUGAAAAGUGGCUUGUCAAGCUCCAUACAUGCCAAAGUGUUUUACCAGGUAAAGUACUUUCAUGACAACAUACUUUUCUGUCCCUGGCAACUUCCUAUUUUUUUGUGUAGGAUUCUCAUUUUCUUUUAUUGAGUCUAAUGUUUAUUUCACUUUCUAUUGUUUAAUGAUUUCCCCCCUGUUAGGUCGAAGCAGAAGGGUUAGAUACAGGUUUGAUCUUCUACAUGGAAGAUCAGAAAAUGGCUGACAUCGCUUUCAAUGUGGGAUCAAAAAACAGCACAGCUGUAUUGUUAGUGUCUCUAUGGCAACAGAUGAGACUUCUCCAGGGACUCAUACCCACCUCUUUACAGGUACAUUUGACAUCAUUUACUCAUGUUCAUCUGCAGAUUUCUGUCUGUGACUAAAAAUAUAAAGCGUGACUGUGCGUUUAUUAAUAUUACUUUUCUUACA